CUUUAUUUAUACCCCGCCACCAUCUCCCCACGGGGACUCAGGGCGGCUCACAUGGGGCAAGGCCCGACUAGCACAAUUUACAAAAACACAAAAACAGUCAUACAUUCACAUUGUAGAUAAUUAGUUGUUCUCAACCUGAUUUUCUUGUUUUAUAGUUGAGCUAAGGAACAUCACCAGAGUAAUUCCUGGGAACCUUUAGUUUUAUCAUACAAUUCUCCUGGGGCCAAGCAGUCCACAUAAGUAUUAUUAAGUAGGAGCAUACUGUAGGCAGAGCCUCCAGAUCGUAUAGAUCAACAGGCUAUUAAGAAACCUAUAUUGUAACAAAAAUAAAAUGAGUAUUUUCAGCUUUUGUCACAAUCAUUCUGUGGCAUUUAUCUUUAAAAACAUAGGGCAGUUCACAUCUGCAGAUAUUUCCGGGUGUAAAACCAACCUAAACAAACACUUUUGGCAACAAUUUCAUAUUCUAAUGAAUAUUUUCGCUAUCAUGGCAACUAUACCUUGAGGUCCAAUAUCAUUGUCUUGAAAGAUAUCACUGAUUUGAUUUACUAUAUCUUCCCUCUUUUUUGUCAUGGAUGGUAAAUAAAACAUAAAACAGUACAAAGCAGUUAAUAACAAUGAUAAAUUCAAACUUUUAACCUGUUGUACAUGCAGAUGGAGAGUUUGAAGUACUUACACACAUUUUAAUUUCUUCUUACCAGUAACCUUGAAAGCUAGAUUAGUAUUCUUAUCUCCAUACGGGGCCAAGACAGUGAUACUGUUUUGCCUUUAACAAGGCCAUCUAGUUAAUUUGUAGCAGAUGCAAUAUCUGAAUUGGUGAUUUUCUUGUUUGCCAUCCAGCAGUGCAACACAUUAUGCAGUCUCCAUUUAAUACUACACUAAUAAAAUCAUGAGUUCUGCCAAGCCUAAGUAGGAUUUAACAUCCCAUUUAAGAGUGCCAUACUACAGUUAUAAUACUAUGAUUAUAUUUUAAUAGCCGUGGCUGCAUCCCUAUGAGAUUUGGGGAUUUGCAGUUUGGUGAGGUGCUAGAGCUCUCUGGAAGAGAAUCUUAAAUGCAAGUCCCUCAAAUGACAAUCCCAGGAUUCCAGGGAAUGGAGCCAUGGCAGUGAAAAUUGAAAAUUGUGUUGAGAUUUCUAAAGAGAACACCUCCAGGAAUCCCUUGGAUUCCCAUACAAUUUUGUGGUAUGCUUCCAGCAUAAGUCAACAACAGAGCCAUGCUGGAAGAGCUAGAAAUUCUUGGGAGGUGUUUCCUCAGGUAAAAGCUAAACUUAUUUAUUUGCAGUUUUUCACUUUUAUGGGGCACUGUGCCCUUAAUUCCAGCAAAUGUUAAAGGCUGACUAUAUUGUUUUGUUACAUCUAUCACACACUUUAGGUCUUACAGGACAGAUAGGGCUAUACAUUUGUACACAAAUAAAAAAGAAAGUAGUCAAUUGGUUUACCAUAUGGACUAAUAGAAAGACCCAGUGCCAUUUUCUGUUGUGUUUUGAGUUAUGAGAAAGAAAUGGAAGGUGAGUGCAUGGCACAGAUAGUGAUCAGCUUGAUUAGACAUUCAAUAAUAAAUAAAAUAAAUAAACUUUAUUUAUAUCCUGCCCCCUCUCCAAACAGGACCUGGGGCGGCUUACAAGUGGUAAAAAACACAGUGCAAAAUACAAUUUACAAAGUUUCAACAUGAUACAUAAUAAUAUCAAAAGCCUAAAAAAUAAACCAAAACACAAAAAAGCAAAUAUAAACAUAAUACUUAACAACAAUAUAAAAAACCUGACAGACAUAACAAUAACACAAUAAAAAUAACAUGAAUUUUAAAUUGUUCUGAGUUUAAACAUGUUGACAUUUCCAGUUAUUAUGUGAUAAAUAAUAAUUAUCACACAGGCAUGGCAUGUGAACAAGGAUUUCAAACCAAAGAUUAAUCCUUUUUACAGCAAGCACAGAAUCCCCCUUGCCUCACACAUUCCGUUUCAGUUGUUAUUUUUGAUGCAUUGCUUACAAUCAUUUAUUUUUUAUCUCUGAAACAACAAACUUUAGUACAUUUGUUAUUAUAUCUGAACCAAGACACUGUAUUUUCAUACUCUCCAACUGGCCUGAUCUGGGAGAGACACUCUUGAAUAAUCUUUAUUCAUCCCACUUUCAAUAGCUUUUAAAAUAUCCCAGUUCUUUCACUUUCUCCCUUUGUCCUCAGCUCACUUCAAUAGCUGCAAACUGAGUUGAAACUGCAAGAGUGUUUAGCACUAACGUAACUAAGAAAGAAGAGGAGAGGAGCAAAUCUUGCAUUUUCAAUCGUUUCACACAAAGCCAAGCAGCUGCAGCCUCUCCUAGCUUGUCUUUUAUUUUGCAUUAAUCAUUGCCAAUUUUGCCAUACUGAUGUUGCUCAGCCUUAUGUGUCCUUAUUUUCAUCUGUGAAGUCUUAGAGCCAUUUUGACAGGAGUUUUGCAAGUGUCAUCUCCUCCCUGCCAAAAAACAAAAAAAUGACAAGCAAUCCCACUAUGUUGCUUUGUAAAUAGUGCAACCGUGACAACAGAUGACUUUUCAAACACUAUAAAAAGCAAGAGGAAUGAAUUAUAAAUUCAGUUUCAAGUUAUGAUUAAGCUGGGAUGUAAAACCAGGAUCUGAACUGGCGGUUAGGAAUUCUGGGAGUUGAGUCCAAAACACCUGGAGGGUUGAAAUUUGCCCAUGCCUGAUCUGAACCAACACAAUGUGCUGAAACAGUGCACAUGGGAAGAAGAGGGAUUUUUUUUUUCAUGUCAGGAGCGACUUGAGAAACUGCAAGUUGCUUUCUGGUGUGAGAGAAUUGGCUGUCUGCAAGGACGUUGCCCAGGGGACGCCCGGAUGUUUUGAUGUUUUUACCAUCCUUGUGGGAGGCUUCUCUCAUGUUCCCACAUGGAGCUGGAGCUGAAAGAGGGAGCUCACUGCGCUCUUCCCGGGUUGGAUUUGAGCCUGGCAGCCUUCAGGUCAGCAACCCAACCUUCAAGUCACAAGGCUUUAACCCACUGCGCCACCGAGGGCUCCAGAAGAGGGAUAAGCAAGGAGCACGGGGCCAUGUAGUUUAUUCCUAGGCAAUAAAGCAUGAUUACCGUUGAUCUAUGCCUUGGGCCCCAUCUACACUGACCAUUUAAUGAAGCUUCAUACAAUCUUCAAAAUGUGAUGACUAGACUAGGCAUGCCAUGAAAGUGCACUUCAUAGUGCUUUAAAUCCAGUAAUCUGACACAAAACAAAGUCGGGGAAACUAAAAAAUGAUGCUCUAUACAUAUCAGCGUCCUGUAGUAUUGAUACAUUUCUACAUUUAUACUACAUUUCACCACAAAAUCGGCCUCACAGAAUACAAAUAGCUAUGCAGACACCCAAAAUAUUCCACAGAUGUACACAUGUGCAUUCUGGAGGGGGGAGUUGGAAAAAAGUCCCAUAUUCUCCUAAACUAAUAAGCUGUGGAUCCUGGAACCAUUUCGAGGCCAGCCUAUGCGUACGUGUAAUCACUAUCCAGACUGGUUCCAGGGUUUGCAAUCUUAUCAUCUGCACAGUAAAAACCACUUUCUUCAAUACCAGUUCCAAACUGAUCUUGCAAACAAAUUUGUAAAAUGUGCGCUAAAUAAUAAUUUGUAAUUGGUUAAGUGAUUGAAUCCAAAGGGUGCACACUAAUGGUUCCCCUUCAUCCUAUUUAGGCUGUGCCGUUGCGCUGGCAAUCACUGGUCUUGAUUUUUUCUUCCUCACUUUUUUCUUUGUAGAUUUUUCUUUCAGCUACAAGUAGACCUAUUUUAUUUCUACAUUAUUUUAGUAGAUUUAAUAAUUAGUUAAAAUGAAAGGAAAUGUUAGCACUACUCCAGCCUACCAGGAAUGGCUCAUGCUCUCAAUUGCAUGUUGUGGUCUGUUUUCACAACUCUAAGUAGUUUGUCAUCAUCCUUGAAGGUUUAAAGGGUUCACAUAGUUGUGACAAGUAGGAGCUCUAGACACCUGUGGCCUUGGCUCUGUCUCAGUUGUUGUGUCUAAGGCAGUAUUGGGGCUGUGUUAUCUGCACAAAAAGCAAGGAAAACAUAAAAGUGAGACAAACCCAAAGAAACAACCCAAUGGGAACUGAGCAUGGCUCUAUGGCCAUGGAAUUCUAUGGAAGAGUGGAGUGGCCACAGUGCCAAAAUCUGCCCCCAAAAUAGAUUAAAAAUAGAGAGAGCAGCCUCAUUUGGGGGAUUGGGGAUGUCUUCUCUACCCUUAUUACUUCAGUAUUUCCAAGAGCAGAAGUGAAAGUUAUCUAUAAAACAAAUGGGAAAGUCUAAGAUUUUAAUGUAGUCAUUAGUAGUUGCCACAUAUCACCAGUAUGUCCACCCAACUCCCAAAAGAAUCCAGUGAGGUUAUUCUCAUUGUGCUGAACAUUGUAAGGGUGGAAAACAAAGCAAACAGAAUCAAGUGACUAGAACCCUGAACAGAUGCAUUCUACUCAGUAAUAUUAUGUUUCAAGGUUCCUUCUGUUUAGUAGUCUUAUAAUAACAACUAUACUAUAAAACGCCAAAAAAAUGACUAUCGUACUCUGUUAGCACUAUCAGGACCACUUCACUCAGGGCAUUUUUGCGCCAUUUUGCUGCUUUUAUUCACAGCAAGGACAGGGCCUGCUGUACACCAUCACACAAUGAAAAGGGCCACGUGAAGAGGCUGUAACUCACUUCCGCAGCGAUUGUCCAGAAGAACAUCUUCCUAGAGCCUACCUUCUUUCUCAUAAUUCAAAGAGAGAGCCUUCAUAUCUUGUUACUGAUCAUUUCAUUUCACACACCUUUAUGCAAAGCUCUGAAGGAUGUGAUGGUGAAUGCACUCAAAAUGACAAGAUAUAUACUGAAGUACUACGCAGCAGCAGCUCUUUCCUCUCUGGGUUUACUUCUGAUUAGCUUCAAAGCACUUUUUCUGUGUUUGAAGUGUGCUAUGAAAUAUCAUUGCCAUUUUGACAGCUGCUUCAAAGGUAAAAUACCGCAUAACUCAUCCUGAAGAAGAAUCGCAAACUGUGCUGUUUAUUUGGUGUUGGUGAUGGGCACAUACAUGACCAAGUUAAACACAUGGAGGUUACUUCAGCAGGAGACUUAGGUACAUGUUUAGUGUUUUACUUUUGACUCGGGGGAAUAAAAAACUUAAAACUUCUGGAUUUCUGGUUGGAUAAUACACUCCUCAUGUUUUACCAAAUUCAAGGUAAUUGUUGUUGAAAAUUAGACCCUAAAAUUAUGAAAGAUGGCUCCAUUGGGACAUACAGCACGCCCAAAUUACCUUUUACAUUUUGUCCUGCAAUAACGUUUUAUGAAACCAUCCAGUGAUUAUGUAGAACUGAGCCCAGGACUAAUCAGAGAAUUUUUUUUCCUUCGUGUCAGGAGCAACCUGAGUCGCUUCUGGAGUGAGAGAAUUGGCCGUCUGCAAGGACAUUGCCCAGGGGACGCCUGGAUGUUUUGAUGUUUUUACCAUCCUUGUGGGAGGCUUCUCUCAUGUCCCCGCAUGGAGCUGGAGCUGAUAGAGGGAGCUCAUCCGCACUCAGAGAAUGGAUCCUAGCUGAACAUUUUCUGAACCAAUCAGGAGCACACAUGGAGAAGCCUAAGGAAGGAAGGAAGGAGAAGCCGAAGGGAGAGAAAAGGAGGCUGAAGCAGCUUUGUUUUCGCCUCACAAGGCAGCGGCAGACAGUGAGAUUGUAAACAACACAAAUAUAGCAUCCCUACUUCGCUGAUUUUCACUUUUCGUGGGUGGUUCUGGAACAUAACCUCCGUGAUAAGUGAUGGAACACUGUAUUCACAAUUGUGGUAUGUUAGUUCUUUACAGUGGUGUUUCUCUUGACAUGCUCUCUGGACACUGAAAAUAAAGUCUUUGAUUUUGCCUUCA
Anolis carolinensis (green anole) is the source of this 5829-nucleotide long non-coding RNA. RefSeq lists it as uncharacterized. The record is from RefSeq and is a predicted model, not a curated record. Lineage: Eukaryota; Metazoa; Chordata; Lepidosauria; Squamata; Anolidae. The transcript is spliced from 2 exons.